CCUACGGGAGGCAGCAGUGGGGAAUUUUCCGCAAUGGGCGAAAGCCUGACGGAGCAACGCCGCGUGAGGGAUGAAGGCCUCUGGGCUGUAAACCUCUUUUAUCAAGGAAGAAGAUCUGACGGUACUUGAUGAAUAAGCCACGGCUAAUUCCGUGCCAGCAGCCGCGGUAAUACGGGAGUGGCAAGCGUUAUCCGGAAUUAUUGGGCGUAAAGCGUCCGCAGGCGGUCUUGUAAGUCUGUCGUUAAAGCGUGGAGCUUAACUCCAUUUCGGCGGUGGAAACUACAAGACUAGAGUGUGGUAGGGGCAGAGGGAAUUCCCGGUGUAGCGGUGAAAUGCGUAGAUAUCGGGAAGAACACCAGUGGCGAAGGCGCUCUGCUGGGCCAUAACUGACGCUCAUGGACGAAAGCUAGGGGAGCGAAAGGGAUUAGAUACCCCUGUAGUCCUAGCCGUAAACGAUGAACACUAGGUGUCGGGGGAAUCGACCCCCUCGGUGUCGUAGCUAACGCGUUAAGUGUUCCGCCUGGGGAGUACGCACGCAAGUGUGAAACUCAAAGGAAUUGACGGCNGAGAGNGCGAGCGACGACGAGGAGAG
RNAcentral lists this ribosomal RNA (592 nucleotides) under uncultured bacterium. Its description in RNAcentral is "bacterial SSU rRNA". It matches the Rfam family "Bacterial small subunit ribosomal RNA", at positions 338 to 944 of the family's 1533-position model. The record is from RNAcentral.